AGUGAACGCUGGCGGUAGGCCUAACACAUGCGAGUCGAACGGCAGCACAGUAAGAGCUUGCUCUUACGAGUGGCGAGUGGCGGACGGGUGAGGAAUACAUCGGAAUCUACUUUUUCGUGGGGGAUAACGUAGGGAAACUUACGCUAAUACCGCAUACGACCUACGGGUGAAAGCAGGGGAUCUUCGGACCUUGCGCGAUUGAAUGAGCCGAUGUCGGAUUAGCUAGUUGGCGGGGUAAAGGCCCACCAAGGCGACGAUCCGUAGCUGGUCUGAGAGGAUGAUCAGCCACACUAGAACUGAGACACGGUACAGACUACUACGGGAGGCAGCAGUGGGGAAUAUUGGACAAUGGGCGCAAGCCUGAUCCAGCCAUACCGCGUGGGUGAAGAAGGCCUUCGGGUUGUAAAGCCCUUUUGUUGGGAAAGAAAAGCAGCAGGUUAAUACCCCGCUGUUCUGACGGUACCCAAAGAAUAAGCACCGGCUAACUUCGUG
Molecule: ribosomal RNA, 492 nt
Filed under: uncultured bacterium
Lineage: Bacteria
Description: partial 16S ribosomal RNA
Rfam family: Bacterial small subunit ribosomal RNA
Source: RNAcentral